Acanthosepion pharaonis is the source of this 114-nucleotide non-coding RNA. The record is from the annotation of a GenBank genome assembly. NCBI's taxonomy places the organism in Eukaryota, Metazoa, Mollusca, Cephalopoda, Sepiida, Sepiidae.
UACAGUCACACCACAUUGAAACACCGAUUCCCGUACGAUCUCCAAAGUUAAUGCAACGUCGAGCCUGGUCAGUACUUAGAUGGGUGACCCCUUGGGAAUUCCAGGUGCUGUAAG